This 2874-nucleotide ribosomal RNA is filed under the name Escherichia coli. RNAcentral describes it as "ribosomal RNA 23s ribosomal RNA". It matches the Rfam family "Bacterial large subunit ribosomal RNA". Lineage: Bacteria; Pseudomonadati; Pseudomonadota; Gammaproteobacteria; Enterobacterales; Enterobacteriaceae. The record is from RNAcentral.
UUAAGCGACUAAGCGUACACGGUGGAUGCCCGGCAGUCAGAGGCGAUGAAGGACGUGCUAAUCUGCGAUAAGCGUCGGUGAGGUGAUAUGAACCGUUAUAACCGGCGAUUUCCGAAUGGGGAAACCCAGUGUGUUUCGACACACUAUCAUUAACUGAAUCCAUAGGUUAAUGAGGCGAACCGGGGAACUGAAACAUCUAAGUACCCCGAGGAAAAGAAAUCAACCGAGAUUCCCCAGUAGCGGCGAGCGAACGGGGAGGAGCCCAGAGCCUGAAUCAGUGUGUGUGUUAGUGGAAGCGUCUGGAAAGGCGUGCGAUACAGGGUGACAGCCCGUACACAAAAUGCACAUAUUGUGAGCUCGAUGAGUAGGGCGGGACACGUGGUAUCCUGUCUGAAUAUGGGGGACCAUCCUCCAAGGCUAAAUACUCCUGACUGACCGAUAGUGAACCAGUACCGUGAGGGAAAGGCGAAAAGAACCCGGCGAGGGGAGUGAAAAAGAACCUGAAACCGUGUACGUACAAGCAGUGGGAGCCUCUUUAUGGGGUGACUGCGUACCUUUGUAUAAUGGGUCAGCGACUUAUAUUCUGUAGCAAGGUUAACCGAAUAGGGGAGCCGAAGGAAACCGAGUCUUAACUGGGCGUUAAGUUGCAGGGUAUAGACCCGAAACCCGGUGAUCUAGCCAUGGGCAGGUUGAAGGUUGGGUAACACUAACUGGAGGACCGAACCGACUAAUGUUGAAAAAUUAGCGGAUGACUUGUGGCUGGGGUGAAAGGCCAAUCAAACCGGGAGAUAGCUGGUUCUCCCGAAAGCUAUUUAGGUAGCGCCUCGUGAAUUCAUCUCCGGGGUAGAGCACUGUUUCGGCAAGGGGUCAUCCCGACUUACCAACCCGAUGCAAACUGCGAAUACCGGAGAAUGUUAUCACGGGAGACACACGGCGGGUGCUAACGUCCGUCGUGAAAGGAAACAACCCAGACCGCCAGCUAAGGUCCCAAAGUCAUGGUUAAGUGGGAAACGAUGUGGGAAGGCCCAGACAGCCGGGAUGUUGGCUUAGAAGCAGCCAUCAUUUAAAGAAAGCGUAAUAGCUCACUGGUCGAGUCGGCCUGCGCGGAAGAUGUAACGGGGCUAAACCAUGCACCGAAGCUGCGGCAGCGACACUAUGUGUUGUUGGGUAGGGGAGCGUUCUGUAAGCCUGUGAAGGUGGCCUGUGAGGGUUGCUGGAGGUAUCAGAAGUGCGAAUGCUGACAUAAGUAACGAUAAAGCGGGUGAAAAGCCCGCUCGCCGGAAGACCAAGGGUUCCUGUCCAACGUUAAUCGGGGCAGGGUGAGUCGACUAAGGCGAGGCCGAAAGGCGUAGUCGAUGGGAAACAGGUUAAUAUUCCUGUACUUGGUGUUACUGCGAAGGGGACGGAAGGCUAUGUUGGCCGGGCGACGGUUGUCCCGGUUUAAGCGUGUAGGCUGGUUUUCCGGGCAAAUCCGGAAAACCAAGGCUGAGGCGUGAUGACGAGGCACUACGGUGCUGAAGCGACAAAUGCCCUGCUUCCGGGAAAAGCCUCUAAGCAUCAGGUAACAUCAAAUCGUACCCCAAACCGACACAGGUGGUCAGGUAGAGAAUACCAAGGCGCUUGAGAGAACUCGGGUGAAGGAACUAGGCAAAAUGGUGCCGUAACUUCGGGAGAAGGCACGCUGAUAUGUAGGUGAAGCGACUUGCUCGUGGAGCUGAAAUCAGUCGAAGAUACCAGCUGGCUGCAACUGUUUAUUAAAACACAGCACUGUGCAAACACGAAAGUGGACGUAUACGGUGUGACGCCUGCCCGGUGCCGGAAGGUUAAUUGAUGGGGUUAGCGGUAACGCGAAGCUCUUGAUCGAAGCCCGGUAAACGGCAGUAGUAACUAUAACGGUCCUAAGGUAGCGAAAUUCCUUGUCGGGUAAGUUCCGACCUGCACGAAUGGCGUAAUGAUGGCGGGCUGUCUCCACCCGAGACUCAGUGAAAUUGAACUCGCUGUGAAGAUGCAGUGUACCCGCGGCAAGACGGAAAGACCCCGUGAACCUUUACUAUAGCUUGACACUGAACAUUGAGCCUUGAUGUGUAGGAUAGGUGGGAGGCUUUGAAGUGUGGACGCCAGUCUGCAUGGAGCCGACCUUGAAAUACCACCCUUUAAUGUUUGAUGUUCUAACGUUGGCCCGUAAUCCGGGUUGCGGACAGUGUCUGGUGGGUAGUUUGACUGGGGCGGUCUCCUCCUAAAGAGUAACGGAGGAGCACGAAGGUUGGCUAAUCUGGUCGGACAUCAGGAGGUUAGUGCAAUGGCAUAAGCCAGCUUGACUGCGAGCGUGACGGCGCGAGCAGGUGCGAAAGCAGGUCAUAGUGAUCCGGUGGUUCUGAAUGGAAGGGCCAUCGCUCAACGGAUAAAAGGUACUCCGGGGAUAACAGGCUGAUACCGCCCAAGAGUUCAUAUCGACGGCGGUGUUUGGCACCUCGAUGUCGGCUCAUCACAUCCUGGGGCUGAAGUAGGUCCCAAGGGUAUGGCUGUUCGCCAUUUAAAGUGGUACGCGAGCUGGGUUUAGAACGUCGUGAGACAGUUCGGUCCCUAUCUGCCGUGGGCGCUGGAGAACUGAGGGGGCUGCUCCUAGUACGAGAGGACCGGAGUGGACGCAUCACUGGUGUUCGGGUUGUCAUGCCAAUGGCACUGCCCGGUAGCUAAAUGCGGAAGAGAUAAGUGCUGAAAGCAUCUAAGCACGAAACUUGCCCCGAGAUGAGUUCUCCUGACUCCUUGAGAGUCCUGAAGGAACGUUGAAGACGACGACGUUGAUAGGCCGGGUGUGUAAGCGCAGCGAUGCGUUGAGCUAACCGGUACUAAUGAACCGUGAGGCUUAACCUU